AAGUGAGAUGAUGGUAUACCAUCUUUCGGGACUGACCUGAAAUGGAGACACUUCUUAAUUUGCUGAUCACUU
This is a small nucleolar RNA of Alligator mississippiensis (American alligator), 72 nucleotides long. It matches the Rfam family "Small nucleolar RNA SNORD2". The record is from Rfam. Lineage: Eukaryota; Metazoa; Chordata; Crocodylia; Alligatoridae.